RNAcentral lists this ribosomal RNA (253 nucleotides) under uncultured bacterium. RNAcentral describes it as "partial 16S ribosomal RNA". It matches the Rfam family "Bacterial small subunit ribosomal RNA", at positions 524 to 776 of the family's 1533-position model. The record is from RNAcentral.
UACAGAGGUCUCAAGCGUUGUUCGGAUUCAUUGGGCGUAAAGGGUGCGUAGGCGGCGCGCUAAGUCAGGUGUGAAAUUUCGGAGCUUAACUCCGAAACUGCCCUUGAUACUGGCGGUCUCGAGUCCGGGAGAGGUGAGUGGAACUGCGAGUGUAGAGGUGAAAUUCGUAGAUAUUCGCAAGAACACCAGUGGCGAAGGCGGCUCACUGGCCCGGUACUGACGCUGAGGUGCGAAAGCGUGGGGAGCAAACAGG